GUUUAUAUAUCCGUUUAGCUUCACUAUUUAUAUAAUAGACCGCUGAAUUUACUUUUGUACAUUAUGUCUACCUUAUUCAGGUGACUAUAGCAUCAGGGUUCCACCUCUUCCCAUUCCGAACAGAGAAGUUAAGCCUGAUCACGCCGAUGGUACUGCGUAACAGUGGGAGAGUAGGUAGUCGCCGUUUUUUUCAGAUGGUUCAUCCCCUUCGGUCGAAAGACCGGAGGGGAUGACUUGUUUUAUACCAUACCCUGUUUAACAAGGAUUCCCGACCACCUCUUUCUUGGUUCAUCCGGUAUAUUCCAGAUUCAACCUUCAGUUUUCCGGCUUUAUCAUAAUUAUGUCUUUGAUGU
This 353-nucleotide ribosomal RNA is filed under the name Bacteroides fragilis str. 3725 D9(v). The record is from RNAcentral. Lineage: Bacteria; Pseudomonadati; Bacteroidota; Bacteroidia; Bacteroidales; Bacteroidaceae.